Molecule: ribosomal RNA, 484 nt
Filed under: uncultured bacterium
Lineage: Bacteria
Description: partial 16S ribosomal RNA
Rfam family: Bacterial small subunit ribosomal RNA
Source: RNAcentral
AUUGAACGCUGGCGGCAGGCCUAACACAUGCAAGUCGAGCGGAUGAAGGGAGCUUGCUCCUGGAUUCAGCGGCGGACGGGUGAGUAAUGCCUAGGAAUCUGCCUGGUAGUGGGGGAUAACGUCCGGAAACGGGCGCUAAUACCGCAUACGUCCUGAGGGAGAAAGUGGGGGAUCUUCGGACCUCACGUUAUCAGAUGGGCCUAGGUCGGAUUAGCUAGUUGGUGGGGUAAAGGCCUACCAAGGCGACGAUCCGUAACUGGUCUGAGAGGAUGAUCAGUCACACUGGAACUGAGACACGGUCCAGACUCCUACGGGAGGCAGCAGUGGGGAAUAUUGGACAAUGGGCGAAAGCCUGAUCCAGCCAUGCCGCGUGUGUGAAGAAGGUCUUCGGAUUGUAAAGCACUUUAAGUUGGGAGGAAGGGCAGUAAGUUAAUACCUUGCUGUUUUGACGUUACCAACAGAAUAAGCACCGGCUAACUUCGUG